CCUACGGUGGGCAGCAGUGGGGAAUAUUGCGCAAUGGGCGAAAGCCUGACGCAGCGACGCCGCGUGAGGGAUGAAGGUCUUCGGAUCGUAAACCUCUGUCAGCAGGGAAGAACGGUCACUGUGCUAAUCAGCAGUGAAUUGACGGUACCUGCAAAGGAAGCACCGGCUAACUCCGUGCCAGCAGCCGCGGUAAUAAGGAGGGUGCGAGCGUUAAUCGGAAUUACUGGGCGUAAAGCGCUCGUAGGCGGUAUGUCAAGUCAAGGGUGAAAUCCCCGCGCUCAACGUGGGAACUGCCUUUGAAACUGGCCAUCUGGAGUGUGUGAGAGGUAAGUGGAAGUCGAGGUGUAGAAGUGAAAUCCGUAGAUAUCUGGAGGAACAUCAGUGGCGAAGGCGACUAUCUGGCACAUAACUGACGCUGAGGAGCGAAAGCGUGGGUAGCAAACAGGAUUAGAUACCCGAGUAGUC
Molecule: ribosomal RNA, 465 nt
Filed under: uncultured bacterium
Lineage: Bacteria
Description: partial 16S ribosomal RNA
Rfam family: Bacterial small subunit ribosomal RNA
Source: RNAcentral